AGUGAACGCUGGCGGUAGGCCUAACACAUGCAAGUCGAACGGAAACACAAUAAGAGCUUGCUCUUACGGGUGGCGAGUGGCGGGCGAGUGAGAAAUACAUCGGCAACUACUUUUUCGUGGGGGAUAACGUAGGGAAAGUUACGCUAAUAGCUAAUACGACCUACGGGUGAAAGCAGGGGAUCUUCGGACCUUGCGCGAUAGAUAGAGCCGAUGUCGGAUUGGAUAGUUGGCGGGGUAAAGGACCACCAAGGCGACGAUCCGUAGCUGGUCUGAGAGGAUGAUCAGCCACACUGGAACUGAGACACGGUCCAGACUCCUACGGGAGGCAGCAGUGGGGAAUAUUCGACAAUGGGCGCAAGCCUGAUCCAGCCAUGCCGCGUGGGUGAAGAAGGCCUUCGGGUUGUAAAGCCCUUUUGUUGGGAAAGAAAAGCAGCAGGUUAAUACCCCGCUGUUCUGACGGUACCCAAAGAAUAAGCACCGGCUAACUUCGUG
RNAcentral lists this ribosomal RNA (492 nucleotides) under uncultured bacterium. RNAcentral describes it as "partial 16S ribosomal RNA". It matches the Rfam family "Bacterial small subunit ribosomal RNA", at positions 29 to 507 of the family's 1533-position model. The record is from RNAcentral.